AACCUAGCACACCUGCGGUGUGUACCUGCGGAAGGAUCAUUACCGAGUUAGGGUGUCUGUUCGCAGCGCCCGACCUCCCAACCCUUUGUCUAUGAUACCUAAACAGUUGCUUCGGCGUGCCGAGGGGUCGUACCCUCGCCGGGCCUCACGGCCGGGAGCGCGCACGUCGACGGCCUUUAUCUAACACUUGAACCCAAAACCUGUCGUCUGAAAACUUGUGAUUAACCAAUAAUCAAAAAC
Molecule: unclassified non-coding RNA, 240 nt
Filed under: soil metagenome
Description: partial contains 5.8S ribosomal RNA, internal transcribed spacer 2, and large subunit ribosomal RNA
Source: RNAcentral